AUCACUUAGGAAUCUUGUUAAAAUUCAGAUUUGGAUUCAGUAGGUCUGAGAAUGUGUCUAAUAGUCUGCAUUUCUAACAAGUUUCUUAGUGAUGCCAA
Molecule: non-coding RNA, 98 nt
Organism: Macaca mulatta (Rhesus monkey)
Lineage: Eukaryota; Metazoa; Chordata; Mammalia; Primates; Cercopithecidae
Source: Rfam